This is a long non-coding RNA of Triticum aestivum (bread wheat), 762 nucleotides long. RefSeq lists it as uncharacterized. The record is from RefSeq and is a predicted model, not a curated record. The transcript is spliced from 5 exons. Lineage: Eukaryota; Viridiplantae; Streptophyta; Magnoliopsida; Poales; Poaceae.
UAAAUGGCAUGGCUGAGAAAGUCCCUUCAAUGAAAGGAGGAGUAUAGUCUUGGCCAUGGCUGGGAAGGAAGGAGAACAUGUAAAUUGAGGAUUUUUCAGAGAGAUCGGGACUGCUUGAUUUAUCAGUGGACUAGUGUGCUGGUUGAUUAGGAUCUUUCAGAGAGAUCAGGGUUGCUUGAUUAAUCAGAGAGAAACUGGAACAGUACUUGGGAGUUGGGACUGGUGUGCUACGGUUGCUUGAUUAAUAAGAGAGAAACUUAUCAUAAUUUAUGAUUUCCUUUUCUUGAUUUGGAGCAAGUGUCUUUGCUGGAGUCAGCGUCCUUGUGGUUGAUCUCAUAUACAUGAGGAUUAUCUGAGUCAGCUGCUUGUGGUUGACCUCAUAUACAUGAGGAUUAUCCGAUCAUUAAAGCACAUACAUUGGAGUUGAAAUAUAGGCGGGUCGUGUACACGGGGUACAUGUACGUGAUGUAAACAAAACCUAUAUAACUCAGGGAAUCGGUACUACAAGAGAGCUUCAAGCUGACGGCCAAUAGGAAUGGAAGACAUGACUUGAUGGAGAAAUCAGGGAACAUACAUUCUGCUCUCUUGUUCUUCGGCUUGGGGUGUCGGCAGCUACCUAUUACUACUAGGGAGUCUUAUUUUGGACGGAAAGAAAAUACAAUAUUGGUUUUUAUCCAUUUGUAUGCCUGCGUUAGCCUUAUGAAGCACAAAGGAUGUCCCAGUGAUCAAUCACGGAUGAUACUUGGUGUAUUCUUACUAGGC